UGAACAUCUGAUCUGCAUGAAGUGAAGUCAGCAGGAUGUGUUUGUGUCAGACUUACAUCUGGAGUGAAGAGGAACUUGAUUCCGCUGACGGAGCCUUUGAGCGUCAGUCCUCUGAUCAGGAAGAUGGUCAGAACCAGAGUGACAGAGACAUGAGCUCAGGAAAAAGUGUAAACGUGAUGGAGAUGUACCUUCCCGGUGGUCUCGAUGCCCCUCAGACAGCAAACCCACAGCAGAGUCCAAGCGCAGAACAGACACAAAACAAUCCACCACUGCAGACCUCCAGAGUCCUCGAUCACAGGAGUCGUGUUCAGCGUCUUUCUGUACCAGAAAUAAUCCACUGGAGAGCUAUCCUCACAUUCAGACACAAACCCUGUUAACAGACACACACGACCAACUGCUCAGGUUACUAAAGAGCCACAUGAAGUAACGUCACAAUGAAUUGACAUGAAUGCUGGUGGUCUGUACCUGUCCGGUUUUCAUUGACGGGACACUGACUCCAGGGUAAAGGGUCCUGAAACGAGUUGAAGAAGUACCACAAGACCCAGGCGAUGAUCGUGUUGUAGUACAUCCCCACCAUGAAGGACACCAGCAUGGAGGCGAUGCCUACACCGACACUGCCUUUUCUGAGUCUCUGUCCGAUGGCAAACUCCAGAUGAAGCAGCGGGAUUCCCUCCAGAACCAGGAGAAUCAGAAACGGGAUCAUAAACGCUCCUGAAAAUGGAGAUACGGGAACCUCCAGACGUUCCCCAGCCCCACGCAGAAGCCCACGCAGGUCAGCAUGUACUGGGCUUUGUUGUCCCACUGGGGCCGCUCCCAGCCUCCUCCAGCUCCAGCUUCUCCAGCUCGGCGUGAGACGGGAUCCGCUCGUCCAGACCCGGGUUUGGGAGCUUCAGCUUCAUGUCUGCAGCGCUGGAUGACUGCGCUCUGCAGCUCUCUCACACCGGUGUGUAUCUGGAUCUGGAGUCGACGCUGGACGAGCAGAGAGAUGAACUCGAGGGAUUUCAGCCUGAAGACUGCACAGGGUGAGACG
RNA transcript from Cyprinus carpio (common carp), 1030 nucleotides. It is a transcript of the gene named FH1/FH2 domain-containing protein 3-like, with no coding region annotated. The transcript has 6 exons. NCBI's taxonomy places the organism in Eukaryota, Metazoa, Chordata, Actinopteri, Cypriniformes, Cyprinidae. The record is from RefSeq and is a predicted model, not a curated record.